GAUGAAGAACGCAGCGAAAUGCGAUAAGUAAUGUGAAUUGCAGAAUUCAGUGAAUCAUCGAAUCUUUGAACGCACAUUGCGCCCUCUGGUAUUCCGGGGGGCAUGCCUGUUCGAGCGUCAUUACAACCCUCAAGCUUUGCUUGGUAUUGGACAUUGCCAGUUUCUGGCAGGUCUUAAAAUCAGCGGCGGUGCCAUUUGGCUUCAAGCGUAGUAAUUCUUCUCGCUUUGGAGAUCCAAGUGGUUACUUGCCAAUAACCCCCAAUUUUUUCAGGUUGACCUCGGAUCAGGUAGGGAUACCCGCUGAACUUAAGCAUAUCAAUAAGCGGAGGA
Molecule: unclassified non-coding RNA, 330 nt
Filed under: soil metagenome
Description: partial contains 5.8S ribosomal RNA, internal transcribed spacer 2, and large subunit ribosomal RNA
Rfam family: 5.8S ribosomal RNA (bases 1-120)
Source: RNAcentral